This is a non-coding RNA of Camellia sinensis, 390 nucleotides long. NCBI's taxonomy places the organism in Eukaryota, Viridiplantae, Streptophyta, Magnoliopsida, Ericales, Theaceae. The record is from RefSeq and is a predicted model, not a curated record.
AUGGAAAUGCAGAUCUGAAAUUAGAGAGAGAGAGAGAGAGAGGCUGAGAGUUUCCGACUCGCCACCGAGGCUCGUGAAAAUCGCAGAGGAUGACAAUGAGAAGUUCUUGUUGAAGCUCAAGAAACGCAUUGACAGAGUUGGGAUUGAUCUUCCCACCAUUGAAGUCCGGUUCGAGCAUUUGAAUGUCGAUGCAGAAGCUUAUGUUGGUGGUAGAGCACUUUCAACAAUUCUGAACUUUUCCAUUAAUCUUUUUGAGGGGUUCUUGAAUUACCUCCAUGUGAUUCCAAGUAGGAAGAAACCAUUAUCAAUCCUUCAUGAUGUUAGUGGAAUCAUCAAGCCUGGAAGGUGAGCCUUUCUCUCUCUCUCUCUCUAUAAUUUCAGAUCUGCAUU